UCCAUAUCGUCCAUUUCCUCGAAUUUCAACUUCUUAAAUACUGCAUCGAAUUGCUUCACAUUAAUCUUACGAUGCACCCCACCAAAAUACGUAUUCCGUAGCCUCUGCUCCAUUUCAUCAUUUUCUUGAUUGGUAUCAACACCAAAUCAAAGUCCAGUAACCAAGCACCAUUCGACAAUUGACAAGCGAAUCAAAUGCUUACCAAUUUGAAACCAUAACUGAUCCUCACGGCUAUCUUCUUCAUGGGCCACUUGCCGCAGUAAAAGAUUGUGCAAAAUUACCCCACUAAAUGGAAAACUUCGACACUCCAAAAAAUGCCCAAAUAUAUCCUUUUUGAACAUACUCAACUGACGCUUUGUUAAUUUUUCCUCGAUGGCUUUUACGACCGAAGAUAACAUACACAUGCUCGAAAUUCGACCAGGAAAGUGAUCAGCAUAACGAAAAUACAUCUUGCCUACUUCAAUAUCCG
This 469-nucleotide long non-coding RNA is filed under the name Citrus sinensis (sweet orange). Its description in RNAcentral is "long non-coding RNA (CSIN_LNC004231)". Lineage: Eukaryota; Viridiplantae; Streptophyta; Magnoliopsida; Sapindales; Rutaceae. The record is from RNAcentral.